AUCAGUUGGGGGUCGCUGGGAUCAAAGUCAUCAAACUACUAACAAUCUGGAACAAGUUUCGUGCUCCCAAUCCUUUCCAAAUGCCACGUACUUCUUUUGUUUUGUGACCUUUUCCGUUCAGGAAAUAUAAUAUACUAAACCCAGACAAACACACACCGUCUCUCUCUCUCUCUCUCUUUCUCUCUCUCUCUCUCUGAAAGCUUCAACCUUGCUUACCUUGAUCUUUCCAGAAUCUCCUCCAGGUCUUUUUGACUCGUAGUAUAUAAUUCACACUCUGACCCUCAGUUAUGUUAAACAAAUCAGUCAUUGUCUUUGCUCGUUGAGUUCGCACAACAGAGAUCCGAGUUUGCUUCGACGAAAACUUGGUCGUCGAGUUGGGUUUGAACUUUGAACAUGGAUGGUGAAUAUCAAGAAGUUUACAUAAGGAAUUCCAGAGGAGUGCAGCUUUUCACUUGCAGAUGGUUGCCUUUCUCUUCCCCAAAGGCCCUUGUGUUCCUCUGCCAUGGUUAUGGCAUGGAGUGCAGCGGUUUCAUGAGAGAAUGCGGCGUCCGGCUAGCAAACGCCGGAUAUGCAGUAUUUGGAAUCGACUAUGAGGGCCAUGGGCGUUCUCGGGGCGCAAGGUGUUACAUUAAGAAGUUCGAAAACAUUGUUAACGACUGCAAUGACUUCUUCAAGUCGAUUUGUGUCGAGGAAGAGUACAGGGACAAAUGUAGGUUCUUGUAUGGGGAAUCCAUGGGAGGGGCAGUGGCCUUAUUGCUUCAUAAGAAGGAUCCUACAUUUUGGAAUGGUGCUGUUCUUGUUGCACCAAUGUGCAAGAUAUCAGAGAAAGUAAAGCCGCAUCCACUGGUGGUAAAUGUACUGACCAGAGUAGAGGAAAUUAUACCGAAAUGGAAGAUCGUACCCACCAAAGACGUUAUUGAUUCCGCCUUCAAGGACCCUGUAAAGCGCGAAGUGAUAAGAAGCAACAAGCUUAUCUACCAAGACAAGCCGAGGCUGAAAACUGCUUUGGAAAUGCUGAGAACUAGCAUGAGCCUUGAAGACACUUUACAUGAAGUGAAACUACCUUUCUUUGUUUUACAUGGGGAGGCAGAUACAGUUACAGACCCUGAAGUAAGCAAAUCUCUGUACAAAAAAGCCAGCAGCCCAGACAAGACCAUAAAAUUGUACCCUGGAAUGUGGCAUGGCUUGACAUCAGGAGAACCCGACGGGAACGUCGAGAUUGUGUUUGCAGACAUCAUACUUUGGCUUGAGAAGCACACUACCGACAGCAAUGUCGUGGUUCUGCAACCACUUCAAACAUUUAAUGAUGGCAUUGUGAAGUUGAACACCACAGCAUCAUCACCCGAAACCAUGAACGAACGGCAGCAAGGGAGCUAUUUCUGUGGACUAAAGGGGCGAAGAUUACAACAUCACUCGGCAAUGUAGUCCUGCGUACUGGGAAUCAUAGCUGCUGUUUCGCACUUGUGCAUUAUCACUAUAAAACUGCUCUCAUGAGUCAUAAUAAAGACAGAUUGCACAAAAAAGAAUGUGAGGAAGAUUGAAAGACGAAGCUCGCUGUCUAUUAAGCUUAAAGGAUAACAAUACAUAAAGAACAAAGGAUGGACAUGACAACGAAUGCCGAAAGAAGACACCUCCAAACCUACUCCG
RNA transcript from Argentina anserina (silverweed cinquefoil), 1647 nucleotides. It is a transcript of the gene named caffeoylshikimate esterase, with no coding region annotated. The record is from RefSeq and is a predicted model, not a curated record. The transcript has 9 exons. NCBI's taxonomy places the organism in Eukaryota, Viridiplantae, Streptophyta, Magnoliopsida, Rosales, Rosaceae.